AUGAGAGCUUCUGGAGACAUUAUUCUCACUCAGUCUGGGUCUAAGUCAGUUCAACUCAGUCAGACAGUCACCAUUGACUGCAAGUCCAGCUCUGAAGUUUACAGAUAUCCAGAAGGUUCUGUAUCUAAAGAUUACUACGUCUCCUGGUAUCUUCAGAAAGCUGGAGAAGCUCCUAAACUCCUGAUAUAUUACACCACAAUGAGAUCUUCUGGAGUUUCCUCUAAAUUCACAGGUGGAGGCAGUUAUUCAGCUGGAGGGAAUGGUCUUGAUUUCUCUCUGGCCAUCAGUGGAGUCCAGGCUGAAGAUACUGGAGCUGUAUGGGAGCUGACAGUGGAGAGUUUUAACACAGUGAAAAAGUCUUGUACAAAACCUCCCUUAGUCAGACAGUACAGAAAUCUACUGCAGGAGGGGAGAUGA
Molecule: non-coding RNA, 417 nt
Organism: Colossoma macropomum (tambaqui)
Lineage: Eukaryota; Metazoa; Chordata; Actinopteri; Characiformes; Serrasalmidae
Source: the annotation of a RefSeq genome assembly